UAAGCGGAGGAAAAGAAACCAACAGGGAUUGCCUCAGUAACGGCGAGUGAAGCGGCAAAAGCUCAAAUUUUAAAGCUGGCACCUUCGGUGUCCGCGUUGUAAUUUUGUGAGGCAUCUCCGGGCAGGGCGCCGGCCUAAGUUCCUUGGAACAGGACGUCACAGAGGGUGAGAAUCCCGUGCUUGGCUGGCUGUCCCCGUCCACGUGAGGUGUCUUCGACGAGUCGAGUUGUUUGGGAAUGCAGCUCAAAAUGGGUGGUAAAUUUCAUCUAAAGCUAAAUAUUGGUGGGAGACCGAUAGCGCACAAGUAGAGUGAUCGAAAGAUGAAAAGCACUUUGAAAAUAGAGUUAAAAAGUACGUGAAAUUGUUGAAAGGGAAGCGCUUGAGACCAGACUUCGGUAGGGGGUGAUCAGCCGUCCUUCUGGGCGGUGCACUUGCCCCCCUCCGGGCCAGCAUCGGUUGGGGCGGCGGGAUAAAGGUCCCGGGAAUGUGGCUCCUCUCGGGGAGUGUUAUAGCCCGGGUGAAUGCCGCCAGCCUCGACCGAGGACCGCGCCCGCAAGGGUCAGGAUGCUUGGCAUAAUGGUCUUCAGCGACCCGUCUUGA
This 600-nucleotide ribosomal RNA is filed under the name Morchella rufobrunnea (woodchip morel). RNAcentral describes it as "eukaryotic LSU rRNA". It matches the Rfam family "Eukaryotic large subunit ribosomal RNA", at positions 47 to 657 of the family's 3401-position model. Lineage: Eukaryota; Fungi; Ascomycota; Pezizomycetes; Pezizales; Morchellaceae. The record is from RNAcentral.